RNAcentral lists this ribosomal RNA (506 nucleotides) under uncultured bacterium. RNAcentral's name for it is "bacterial SSU rRNA". It matches the Rfam family "Bacterial small subunit ribosomal RNA", at positions 28 to 507 of the family's 1533-position model. The record is from RNAcentral.
GACGAACGCUGGCGGCGUGCCUAAUACAUGCAAGUCGAACGGUCUUUUCUAUGGAAGCUUGCUUCCGCUGAGAAGAUAGUGGCGGACGGGUGAGUAACACGUGGGUAACCUGCCCAUAAGAGGGGGAUAACAUCCGGAAACGGGUGCUAAUACCGCAUAGUUUUUUUGAUCGCAUGAUCGAGAAAGGAAAGACGGCCUUUGUGCUGUCGCUUAUGGAUGGACCCGCGGCGUAUUAGUUAGUUGGUGAGGUAAUGGCUCACCAAGACGAUGAUACGUAGCCGACCUGAGAGGGUGAUCGGCCACAUUGGGACUGAGACACGGCCCAAACUCCUACGGGAGGCAGCAGUAGGGAAUCUUCCGCAAUGGACGAAAGUCUGACGGAGCAACGCCGCGUGAGUGAAGAAGGUUUUCGGAUCGUAAAACUCUGUUGUCAGAGAAGAACAAGUUGGAGAGUAACUGCUCCAGCCUUGACGGUAUCUGACCAGAAAGCCACGGCUAACUACGUG